RNAcentral lists this unclassified non-coding RNA (672 nucleotides) under uncultured Campylobacterota bacterium. RNAcentral describes it as "uncultured Epsilonproteobacteria bacterium partial 16S-23S ribosomal RNA intergenic spacer". The stretch from base 475 to 672 matches the Rfam family "Bacterial large subunit ribosomal RNA", at positions 1 to 215 of the family's 2925-position model. Lineage: Bacteria; Pseudomonadati; Campylobacterota. The record is from RNAcentral.
AAAGUAUGACCUAACAUCAGAUAGAUUUGGUUUGUUUGCCAAGCUUAUGUUUGGUUGUCUCAGAUCAUUAGGGUCUUUGACAUUACAUCAUAUGGGCGUAUAGCUCAGCCGGUUAGAGUGCACCCCUGAUAAGGGUGAGGUCCCAGGUUCAAGUCCUGGUAUGCCCACCAUCUAUAGAUAGAUGAACAACUAAGACUUAAUUCAAGUUCUUUAAAGAAGAGCUUGAAUUAGGUUUUACCUAAAUGUUAUUUAACUUAUUAUUGUUAAGAGUCUAACGUAAUGCUGCGAAGUGGAGAUACCAAUAUCAAAACUUUACAAAUUACAAUGUAACAGAAAAUUAUCAGCAAUGAUAAUCUUUCAUGUGCAAUAACUCAUCAGAAGAUAGAGAUAUCUUCAAGCUUAUUAUUAUUAAAGAAAGAUGAAUCAUAGUAAUAUGACUCAAUUGCAUUUAAUACGGUAGUACCUUAGAAUUAAAUAAAUGAAUCUAAGGGCAGAUGGUGGAUGCCUAGACCAGGAGAGGCGAUGAAGGACGUACUAGGCUGCGAUAAGCCACGGGGAGCUGCCAAGAAGCUUUGAUCCGUGGAUUUCCGAAUGGGGCAACCCGGCAUGUAGUGAUGCAUGUCACCCUUAGGGGGGCGAACGUAGGGAAGUGAAACAUCUCAGUACCUAUAG